GAUGAACGCUAGCGGCAGGCCUAACACAUGCAAGUCGAGGGGGAAGUUACUUUCGGGUGACUGAGACCGGCGUACGGGUGCGUAACGCGUAUACAAUCUGCCUUUCACUGGGGGAUAGCCCGAAGAAAUUUGGAUUAAUACCCCAUAGUAUAUAGGGACGGCAUCGUUUUUAUAUUAAAGCUUAGGUGGUGAAAGAUGAGUAUGCGUUCUAUUAGCUAGUUGGAGAGGUAACGGCUCCCCAAGGCGAUGAUAGAUAGGGGUUCUGAGAGGGAUGUCCCCCAAACUGGUACUGAGAUACGGACCAGACUCCUACGGGAGGCAGCAGUGAGGAAUAUUGGACAAUGGUCGGAAGACUGAUCCAGCCAUGCCGCGUGCAGGAUGAAGGUCUUAUGGAUUGUAAACUGCUUUUGUAAGGGAAGAAUAAGGGCUACGCGUAGUUUGAUGACGGUACCUUACGAAUAAGCAUCGGCUAACUCCGUG
Molecule: ribosomal RNA, 480 nt
Filed under: uncultured bacterium
Lineage: Bacteria
Description: partial 16S ribosomal RNA
Rfam family: Bacterial small subunit ribosomal RNA
Source: RNAcentral